AGAGUAAUAAGGUUUUGGGUCUGUACCUUUUGUAUCAGGGGUCUUUAAAAAUAAAAUUAGGAGUUAUUCGAGUCAGUUCGAUUUUUGUGUGUUAAUUGCAGUUGUAGUAGCAGUUUUAAUAGGGCAAGAGGUGAAAAGUGUGCGAGAGCUGCGGUAGCUAAUUGUUUUUAUGUUGAAAGGUUAAGCUUUCAUAGACCUAUGCAGUAAAGAGUAAUUAAAAAGGUUAGGCUUUAGAUUAGCCAGGCCGUUAAAUUGUUUUAAAUAAUUUUUUUAUGAUAGUUUAAGUAGGGUUAUAUGACUAUGAAGAAAUAAUAGUUGUUUGCAUGAAUAAUGAAGGCAUUGAAUAAGGAGAGGAGCUGAAAAAUAACUCAAAACAUGCUAGAGAGUUUAGCAAAAACAUUUUUGUUAGGGGUAAGUAGAAUAAAACCUGCCCAGUGCAGAGUUAACGGCUGCAGUAUUUUGACUGUGCUAAGGUAGCGUAGUCAUUUGCUUUUUAAUUGGUAGCUGGAAUGAAAGGUUAAACUAGUUUUAUGUGUUUGUAGGUGAAAUAGUAAGUUUAAGUAGAGGUAAUAAUUCCUUUGUUUUCUGGGGGACGAUAAGACCCUAGAAGCUUAAUUAGCGGGGGAUUUGUAGUGAGAAAGUACAGUUGGUUUUGCUGGGGCGGCAAUAGUAUAUCAACUACUAUAAAGUUGGAGGAUCCUGGUAUAUCCAGAUGUAGCGGAAAAGUUACUCUAGGGCUAACAGUACAAUAUAUUUGGAGAGACCGUAUCGAUAAGUAAGUUUGUAACCUCGAUGUUGAAUUAAUAUAUCUACGCGGGGUAGUAAAUGCGUAAGAGGGUUUGUUCAACC
RNAcentral lists this ribosomal RNA (849 nucleotides) under Gammarus nipponensis. RNAcentral describes it as "partial 16S ribosomal RNA". The stretch from base 559 to 849 matches the Rfam family "Bacterial large subunit ribosomal RNA", at positions 2045 to 2586 of the family's 2925-position model. The record is from RNAcentral. Lineage: Eukaryota; Metazoa; Arthropoda; Malacostraca; Amphipoda; Gammaridae.